This 88-nucleotide transfer RNA is filed under the name Clostridiales bacterium. RNAcentral describes it as "tRNA-Ser". It matches the Rfam family "tRNA". From Rfam's summary of the family: Transfer RNA (tRNA) molecules are approximately 80 nucleotides in length. Their secondary structure includes four short double-helical elements and three loops (D, anti-codon, and T loops). Further hydrogen bonds mediate the characteristic L-shaped molecular structure. tRNAs have two regions of fundamental functional importance: the anti-codon, which is responsible for specific mRNA codon recognition, and the 3' end, to which the tRNAs corresponding amino acid is attached (by aminoacyl-tRNA synthetases). tRNAs cope with the degeneracy of the genetic code in two manners: having more than one tRNA (with a specific anti-codon) for a particular amino acid; and 'wobble' base-pairing, i.e. permitting non-standard base-pairing at the 3rd anti-codon position. Lineage: Bacteria; Bacillati; Bacillota; Clostridia; Eubacteriales. The record is from RNAcentral.
GGAGAGUUGUCCGAGUGGUCGAAGGUGCAGCACUCGAAAUGCUGUAGGGUGCAAGCCCUCCGGGGUUCGAAUCCCCGACUCUCCGCCA